GGUUAAAUCUCUGCUCAUAUUCGAUAUCGAGGGAGUAGGCUAAAUGUUGGCAGAAAUGUCAAAUAACGAGCAGGAGAAACUCCACUACUAGAGCUACUGCAGAAAAACCAAAGGUUGUGUCUCCAGGAGCUGAGGGAUGAGCAGACGUCAGGAGAAAGAGGAGCGACAACGGAAGAGGCACAAUGAAAGAAACAGAGGGACCCAAACGUCAGCACUGACAUAUCCUUCACAACAUCUGGAUAUUUAAAGAUUGAUCAGAGUUCACGCUGGAGAGAAGCUGUACAGCUGUGAUGAAUGUGGGGCAGCUUUCACUCCGAGUGGUCACCUAGAAGACACAGACGUGUCGGAAUCAUAAAAUUAAAACUUGACUCUUUUCUCGAUGUCAUUUUCCAAAGUUUUUGUUGCUAUUUUGUAUUUAUUUAUUUAUUUUUUACUCUUUUGAAGCAUUAAGACA
Perca fluviatilis (European perch) is the source of this 454-nucleotide long non-coding RNA. RefSeq lists it as uncharacterized. The record is from RefSeq and is a predicted model, not a curated record. Lineage: Eukaryota; Metazoa; Chordata; Actinopteri; Perciformes; Percidae. The transcript has 3 exons.